UACGUAGGGUGCAAGCGUUAAUCGGAAUUACUGGGCGUAAAGCGUGCGCAGGCGGCUUUGCAAGACAGAUGUGAAAUCCCCGGGCUUAACCUGGGAACCGCAUUUGUGACUGCAUAGCUGGAGUACGGCAGAGGGGGAUGGAAUUCCGCGUGUAGCAGUGAAAUGCGUAGAUAUGCGGAGGAACACCGAUGGCGAAGGCAGUCCCCUGGGCCUGUACUGACGCUCGUGCACGAAAGCGUGGGGAGCAAACAGG
RNAcentral lists this ribosomal RNA (253 nucleotides) under uncultured bacterium. Its description in RNAcentral is "partial 16S ribosomal RNA". It matches the Rfam family "Bacterial small subunit ribosomal RNA", at positions 524 to 776 of the family's 1533-position model. The record is from RNAcentral.